RNAcentral lists this ribosomal RNA (460 nucleotides) under uncultured bacterium. RNAcentral describes it as "partial 16S ribosomal RNA". It matches the Rfam family "Bacterial small subunit ribosomal RNA", at positions 338 to 795 of the family's 1533-position model. The record is from RNAcentral.
CCUACGGGGAGCAGCAGUGAGGAAUAUUGGUCAAUGGACGCAAGUCUGAACCAGCCAUGCCGCGUGCAGGAAGACGGCUCUAUGAGUUGUAAACUGCUUUUGUACGAGGGUAAACUCAGAUACGCGUAUCUGUCUGAAAGUAUCGUACGAAUAAGGAUCGGCUAACUCCGUGCCAGCAGCCGCGGUAAUACGGAGGAUUCAAGCGUUAUCCGGAUUUAUUGGGUUUAAAGGGUGCGUAGGCGGUCGGAUAAGUUAGAGGUGAAAGCCCGAGGCUCAACUUCGGAAUUGCCUCUGAUACUGUUCGGCUAGAGAGUGGUUGCGGUAGGCGGAAUGUAUGGUGUAGCGGUGAAAUGCUUAGAGAUCAUACAGAACACCGAUUGCGAAGGCAGCUUACCAAGCUACUUCUGACGUUGAGGCACGAAAGCGUGGGGAGCAAACAGGAUUAGAUACCCUAGUAGUC